This 1561-nucleotide long non-coding RNA is filed under the name Homo sapiens (human). RNAcentral describes it as "HSALNT0312870". Lineage: Eukaryota; Metazoa; Chordata; Mammalia; Primates; Hominidae. The record is from RNAcentral.
CAUGCACACAUUCACAAAAGAGAGAUUUAAGGAAUUGGCUCAGGUGAUUAUGGAGGCUGUAAGUCCAAAAUCUUCAGAGUAGGGAGAGAGGCUAGAUACCCGUGGAAAAGUUGAUGUUGCAAUAUGAGUGCUAAGGCAGAUUGCUAAUAGAAUUUCCUUUUCCUUAAGGGAUAUUAGCCUUUUUUUCUUUCAAGGCCUUCAACUGAGUGGAUGAGGCCCAACUGCAUUGUGAGAGUAAUUUGCUUUGCUCAUCGAAUACUGAUUUAAAUGUUAAUGUUAUCUAAAUAAAUACUUCAUAAAAACAUCUAGACUGGUGUUUGACCAAAUACCUGGGUACCAUGGCCUAGCCAAAUUAACACAUAAAUCAGCCGUCACAAAUUAGAAACCUACUGGUAAAGACUUAGAAAAUUAUUUUAAAAAAUAUUUCCCCCCAUAUUAAUAUAAUCAUGUUCAACAUAAUUUUUUAGAAUAAACACAUAGCGUAGCACUUUUUAGUCACACUGUACAUUGAAAUAGAUAUAAAUAAAUAUCCACAACUCAGCCCCACCUACAGAAUUUUUACUAAAAAUUAGUAGUUAACACUGUUGAUCAAACCCAUUGUUUUUCCCAUAGAGAAGCUGCUCUCCAAGUGAAUACAGCUCAAUGCAACUCAACAAGUGUUUGCAGAGCACCUGCUGAAAGUCAAGGAGAAGCCUUACUCACUUCCAUAUCAACUGUACCAUUCACUUUCUGUCAUGCACAACCUCCCAAUAUUAAAUACCUUUUCACAUUCGAAGGCCUGGAUUCCUCAAGAUGCUGAAAAUUUCUGCCAAAUAUCUUGGUAACAUUUAGAACUGUUUUCAAAAGAAAGAAAGGCACUAUUAAGACCAGCUCUAAGCUCAAGCAAGAUCUCCAGGUGUGCCUAAAGAAUCUUGGGGAUGUGUCUUCUGAAGCUAAAGAGACCCCUAAGCAUCCUGCAAAAUACCAGUGCACAACAAUUUGGGACAUAGCUUAAGCUUUCUGCUCGAUGCUGGCGACAAAGAGGAGAAAGACAACUUCUACUCUCAGACAACUUAGUCUGCUUUAGGAGUUACAAACACAGACAAUUUCAACACUGGAUGAAAAUGAUGGGACAAAGGUAAAAGGAGAGAGGAAUGCAUCUCAGCUGAGUUUCAGAAAAAAAAAAAGUUUUGAAGAGAUCUCAAUGUUAGGAAGCCAACAAGGCCUGCAAAAGUCACCUAGAUCAUGAAAUUGACUAUGUCAGGGGAGGCAAUUCGUCACAAUCGUGUUUGAAAAUGAGGAUAAGCAUGGAGAGCCAAUGAUUACAUUUCACAAUGUCCUUCAUGGGAAACUAUAUCCCAGAAGAGUUAGGCCACUUCCUUAAGAUCAUGCAACCUACUUCUACAGUACCAUCAAUAUGAAGGUGAUUGCUUUUUCUCCACAUUUUAGAACUAACUAAUUUUGCCCAAUUCUUUGGCUUACUAGGUUUGAAUGAAAAAAUAUAGACUCCUGAAGUGAGGAGAUAAAUUAGAAAGGGUUGUGCAGUCCAGACAAAUUAUUAUUUUGUGCCAGCAAAACUACA